Long non-coding RNA from Phascolarctos cinereus (koala), 1887 nucleotides. RefSeq lists it as uncharacterized. The record is from RefSeq and is a predicted model, not a curated record. Lineage: Eukaryota; Metazoa; Chordata; Mammalia; Diprotodontia; Phascolarctidae.
AGUGUCUACAGCUUGUGAUCAAUAUCGGAUGGAACAGUGAGUAAGGUGUAGCAACAAUUUUUGUAGCAGGAGAUCCAAUUCUGAGUCCUAGGCAUAAGACCUUGGCUCAACUUUCAUCAGUUUGUAGGUCUCUUCCUGGAAUGCAGACGCUGAUGGGAAGAAGCGCUGAGGGAGUUCUUUAAAGAUGAAUGUCCUCUAGUAUGAAUUGAUAAGAAUGGUUUAGCUAAUCUCAGCUGGGAAGGAACCAAUCCUGGCCUAUAAGCAAAAACAGUGACUAAGGAAGUACAAAUGUACAUCAUGGAUGAGGACCCUGGCAACUCUGCUGGGAAAUUUUAGUGACUCCACUCCCAGCCCCUCAGGAAAAGUGAGAAGAAAUCUUCUCUGGGAAAGCCAGCCACAGUACAGGCUCUCAUCUCCUCAGAAUUUCCUUGAUAUUUCUUCUGAAGUUUUAUGGAAGCUUUCGUGCUUUUACAUCAUAAUCUUUUUACUCACGAACCCUGUGUUGUAAUACAGGAAAAUUAUUCAGCAAAACCAGCCAAUAGAGCAACUCUAGUAUACGUGUAUGUUUACUCUAUUACCUCCUAUAUCUGUAUUUUUACUCUCCCCCUCCCCUAAGAAGAGAGAGUUGUGUUUUAUCAUCUGCCUUCUGGAACCAACAGACCAAACUGCUUGGGAUUUUUUUGGUCCAGACUUGUGAUUUCAUUAGUCUAGGGGGAACUCCUGGUGAGUAAGCUCCUCCUCCUAAUCCAGAUGGUCAAAUCCACUGAAACCUGUGGUCUAGUAAAGUUAACUGUGGAUACUGAUGGGUUAAGAGACACACAGCUAAUUCAUCCAGAGGUGGUACCUGAAGCAAGACCAUUCUAACUGGGAGCUAAUAUUUCUAGAAUAAUACUGAAUAUUGGAGGUGAUCAUUGGCAUCCUUGUUUCACCCCUGACUGUACUGAGAAAACUUCCAGCUUAUCUCCAUUACAGAUAAUGCUUGCUGAUGGUUUUAGGUCAAAUAUGCCCAGGUCUCUUAAUCAAUGUCAUGGACUCAAAGCUUUUGACCAUCUUAAAGAUCCUCCUCUGAACAUUCUCCAGCUUACCAAAGGCCCUCCUAAACUAUGGUGCCAGAACUGAACACAAUACUCCAGGGGAGGUACAGUGGAAUAUCACGUUCUUAUUCUUGGAAGCUAUUUUUUUCUUACAGUCCAAGAUUAAAUUAAGUUGUCUUUUUUUUUAGCUGGUAACUCAUAUUGGUCACUAAAAUCACCAGAUCUUUUUCAGAGCAACUGAUAUCUGUCUAUGCCUCCCCCAUCUUAUAUUAAGUUGAUCUCUUGUACCCAAGUGUAAGACUUUUCCUGGUAAAUUCCACCUUAUUAGAGGCUCUAGCCUGUAAAGAUCUUUUUGGAUCCUGACUACCAUUCAGUGCAUAUUAGCUAAUCCUUCUAGCACUGUCAUCUGCAAAUCUGAUGAACAUACAAUAUAUGCCUUUGUUCAUGUCCUGGAUACAACUGUUAAAUGACAGAGAGCCACCAAGCCCAGAUCCCUAGGGUACUUCACUGGAGACCUUCUAUGUUUACAUUAAUACAUUAGUCACUCUUUGAGUCUAGCCAUCCAACUAGUACUGAAUGUGCUAUCCAAGUAACAGAGUCUACAUUUUUUACUUAUCUGAAUUUCAGUCUUCCUCCUUCCUGGUAAGAAAAACUUGUCUCUGCCCAGUGCUUCAGGAGCAGUUUCAGGAGCCAGGAACCUGCCUUUUUAUCUUAUUUAUCUUCUAGAGUCCUUCCUUUGGCGUCCAAUGGAGCCGAUGUCACCUAUCAACAGUUUAUUAAGUGCCUACCGUAUGUAUCAGGCCCUUUGCUAAAGACUGGGAAUACAAAGAAAAGCAAAAAAUACUUACUCAGA